UCUUAUGGAACCAGUUUUCUCAACUGAGGGUC
RNAcentral lists this non-coding RNA (32 nucleotides) under Mus musculus (house mouse). Lineage: Eukaryota; Metazoa; Chordata; Mammalia; Rodentia; Muridae. The record is from RNAcentral.